This 27-nucleotide non-coding RNA is filed under the name Mus musculus (house mouse). Lineage: Eukaryota; Metazoa; Chordata; Mammalia; Rodentia; Muridae. RNAcentral also lists the same sequence under 1 other name. The record is from RNAcentral.
UUCUGAUUCAUGUGAUCCCCUCCAAGC